CAGUAGCCACGGGAAUACGAAGGGUGCAAGCGUUAAUCGGAAUUACUGGGCGUAAAGCGUGCGUAGGCGGUUUGUUAAGUCUGCUGUGAAAUCCCCGGGCUCAACCUGGGAAUGGCAGUGGAUACUGGCAAGCUAGAGUGUGUCAGAGGAUGGUGGAAUUCCCGGUGUAGCGGUGAAGUGCGUAGAGAUCGGAAGGAACAUCUGUGGCGAAGGCGACUAUCUGGGCCAACACUGACACUGAGGCACGAAAGCGUGGGGAGCAAACAGGAUUAGAUACCCCCGUAGUCCCUGUCUCUUAUAC
Molecule: ribosomal RNA, 301 nt
Filed under: uncultured bacterium
Lineage: Bacteria
Description: partial 16S ribosomal RNA
Rfam family: Bacterial small subunit ribosomal RNA
Source: RNAcentral